GCGGAGGGAUCAUUACCGAGUUUACAACUCCCAAACCCCUGUGAACAUACCACUUGUUGCCUCGGCGGAUCAGCCCGCUCCCGGUAAAACGGGACGGCCCGCCAGAGGACCCCUAAAACUCUGUUUCUAUAUGUAACUUCUGAGUAAAACCAUAAAUAAAUCAAAACUUUCAACAACGGAUCUCUUGGUUCUGGCAUCGAUGAAGAACGCAGCAAAAUGCGAUAAGUAAUGUGAAUUGCAGAAUUCAGUGAAUCAUCGAAUCUUUGAACGCACAUUGCGCCCGCCAGUAUUCUGGCGGGCAUGCCUGUUCGAGCGUCAUUUCAACCCUCAAGCACAGCUUGGUGUUGGGACUCGCGUUAAUUCGCGUUCCUCAAAUUGAUUGGCGGUCACGUCGAGCUUCCAUAGCGUAGUAGUAAAACCCUCGUUACUGGUAAUCGUCGCGGCCACGCCGUUAAACCCCAACUUCUGAAUGUUGACCUCGGAUCAGGUAGGAAUACCCGCUGAACUUAAGCAUAUCAAU
RNAcentral lists this ribosomal RNA (520 nucleotides) under Fusarium oxysporum. RNAcentral describes it as "eukaryotic LSU rRNA". The stretch from base 165 to 318 matches the Rfam family "5.8S ribosomal RNA". The record is from RNAcentral. Lineage: Eukaryota; Fungi; Ascomycota; Sordariomycetes; Hypocreales; Nectriaceae.